RNAcentral lists this ribosomal RNA (890 nucleotides) under Aspergillus flavus. RNAcentral describes it as "SSU rRNA". It matches the Rfam family "Eukaryotic small subunit ribosomal RNA", at positions 62 to 962 of the family's 1831-position model. Lineage: Eukaryota; Fungi; Ascomycota; Eurotiomycetes; Eurotiales; Aspergillaceae. The record is from RNAcentral.
ACUUUAAGCACUUUAUACUGUGAAACUGCGAAUGGCUCAUUAAAUCAGUUAUCGUUUAUUUGAUAGUACCUUACUACAUGGAUACCUGUGGUAAUUCUAGAGCUAAUACAUGCUAAAAACCUCGACUUCGGAAGGGGUGUAUUUAUUAGAUAAAAAACCAAUGCCCUUCGGGGCUCCUUGGUGAUUCAUAAUAACUUAACGAAUCGCAUGGCCUUGCGCCGGCGAUGGUUCAUUCAAAUUUCUGCCCUAUCAACUUUCGAUGGUAGGAUAGUGGCCUACCAUGGUGGCAACGGGUAACGGGGAAUUAGGGUUCGAUUCCGGAGAGGGAGCCUGAGAAACGGCUACCACAUCCAAGGAAGGCAGCAGGCGCGCAAAUUACCCAAUCCCGACACGGGGAGGUAGUGACAAUAAAUACUGAUACGGGGCUCUUUUGGGUCUCGUAAUUGGAAUGAGUACAAUCUAAAUCCCUUAACGAGGAACAAUUGGAGGGCAAGUCUGGUGCCAGCAGCCGCGGUAAUUCCAGCUCCAAUAGCGUAUAUUAAAGUUGUUGCAGUUAAAAAGCUCGUAGUUGAACCUUGGGUCUGGCUGGCCGGUCCGCCUCACCGCGAGUACUGGUCCGGCUGGACCUUUCCUUCUGGGGAACCUCAUGGCCUUCACUGGCUGUGGGGGGAACCAGGACUUUUACUGUGAAAAAAUUAGAGUGUUCAAAGCAGGCCUUUGCUCGAAUACAUUAGCAUGGAAUAAUAGAAUAGGACGUGCGGUUCUAUUUUGUUGGUUUCUAGGACCGCCGUAAUGAUUAAUAGGGAUAGUCGGGGGCGUCAGUAUUCAGCUGUCAGAGGUGAAAUUCUUGGAUUUGCUGAAGACUAACUACUGCGAAAGCAUUCGCCAAG